AGCGGUUCGGCCGGGAACUCUAAGGAAACUGCCGGUGAUAAACCGGAGGAAGGUGAGGAUGAUGUCAAGUCAUCAUGGCCCUUACGGGUAGGGCUACACACGUGCUACAAUGGGCAGUACAAAGGGUUGCUAAACCGCGAGGUAAAGCUAAUCCCAAAAAACUGUUCGUAGUCCGGAUUGGAGUCUGCAACUCGACUCCAUGAAGCUGGAAUCGCUAGUAAUCGCGAAUCAGAAUGUCGCGGUGAAUACGUUCUCGGGCCUUGUACACACCGCCCGUCACACCAUGGAAGUGAAUUGUACCAGAAGCGGGUGGGCUAACCUUCGGGAAGCCGCUCACCACGGUAUGAUUC
RNAcentral lists this ribosomal RNA (350 nucleotides) under Coxiella endosymbiont of Rhipicephalus decoloratus. RNAcentral's name for it is "bacterial SSU rRNA". It matches the Rfam family "Bacterial small subunit ribosomal RNA", at positions 1120 to 1470 of the family's 1533-position model. Lineage: Bacteria; Pseudomonadati; Pseudomonadota; Gammaproteobacteria; Legionellales; Coxiellaceae. RNAcentral also lists the same sequence under 1 other name. The record is from RNAcentral.